RNAcentral lists this transfer RNA (75 nucleotides) under Ameiurus melas (black bullhead). It matches the Rfam family "tRNA". Rfam says of the family: Transfer RNA (tRNA) molecules are approximately 80 nucleotides in length. Their secondary structure includes four short double-helical elements and three loops (D, anti-codon, and T loops). The record is from Rfam by way of RNAcentral. Lineage: Eukaryota; Metazoa; Chordata; Actinopteri; Siluriformes; Ictaluridae.
GCCGAAAUAGCUCAGUUGGGAGAGUGCGUUAGAUUGAAGAUCUGAAGGUCCCCGGCUCAAUCCCGGGUUUCGGCA